GGGUCAGUAGAGCGUAAUUGGUAUCGCACCGGACUGUAAAUCCGGUUCCUGACGGACGUUGUUGGUUCAAGUCCAACCUGGCCCACCA
RNAcentral lists this transfer RNA (88 nucleotides) under Oscillospiraceae bacterium. Its description in RNAcentral is "tRNA-Tyr". It matches the Rfam family "tRNA". From Rfam's summary of the family: Transfer RNA (tRNA) molecules are approximately 80 nucleotides in length. Their secondary structure includes four short double-helical elements and three loops (D, anti-codon, and T loops). Lineage: Bacteria; Bacillati; Bacillota; Clostridia; Eubacteriales; Oscillospiraceae. The record is from RNAcentral.